RNAcentral lists this long non-coding RNA (470 nucleotides) under Elaeis guineensis (African oil palm). RNAcentral's name for it is "long non-coding RNA (EGUI_LNC009189)". Lineage: Eukaryota; Viridiplantae; Streptophyta; Magnoliopsida; Arecales; Arecaceae. The record is from RNAcentral.
CCUAACCAACCUAUUGAUUUGCUCUUUCCUUGUUUUCUUCCACUUCUUCAAAGCCUAGUAGCAAGUCCUCCUUGCUUGUUUUCUUCUUUCCUUCUUCUCUUCCUCCUUUCUCUUCUGCAUCUCCUUUUCUUCUUGUUGGGGAUGAUUUGGUACUGGUUGAAGCCGUGAAGCAUAUAAAGAAAAGAUUGACCCUCUCAAAUUUUCAAAUCUCGCGUCUUAUUCAAAAUUCAAACAACUCUGAUAUUACAGCUGCCUGCAGAGUAGAUAAGAAAAAAAUAACAAGUAUAUCUUUUCUAAUAAAGAAAGAUAACAGCUAAAUCUCUCUAGAUAAAUCAAGACUAACCAUCUGAUUUUUCUUCUUCUCAUAACUCCUCAACCUCUGUCUAUAAUAAAGAUCCAUAGAGAAUCUCAAGGUAUGAAAUCUUCUCUCUUACGCUUCUUCUCUCUGUUGCCAGAAUUUUGAUUUGAGC